CUCGUAGGCGGCCAACUAAGUCAUACGUGAAAUCCCUCAGCUUAACUGGGGAACUGCGUGUGAUACUGGAUGGCUUGGAUUUGGGAGAGGGAUGCGGAAUUCCAGGUGUAGCGGUGAAAUGCGUAGAUAUCUGGAGGAACACCGGUGGCGAAGGCGGCAUCCUGGACCAAUAUUGACGCUGAGGAGCGAAAGCCAGGGAGCAAAC
Molecule: ribosomal RNA, 205 nt
Filed under: uncultured bacterium
Lineage: Bacteria
Description: partial 16S ribosomal RNA
Rfam family: Bacterial small subunit ribosomal RNA
Source: RNAcentral